RNAcentral lists this ribosomal RNA (495 nucleotides) under uncultured bacterium. Its description in RNAcentral is "partial 16S ribosomal RNA". It matches the Rfam family "Bacterial small subunit ribosomal RNA", at positions 28 to 507 of the family's 1533-position model. The record is from RNAcentral.
GACGAACGCUGGCGGCGUGCCUAAUACAUGCAAGUAGAACGCUGAAGGAAGGGCUUGCUUCUCUGGAUGAGUUGCGAACGGGUGAGUAACGCGUAGGUAACCUGCCUGGUAGCGGGGGAUAACUAUUGGAAACGAUAGCUAAUACCGCAUAAUAGUAGAUGUUGCAUGACAUUUGCUUAAAAGGUGCAAUUGCAUCACUACCAGAUGGACCUGCGUUGUAUUAGCUAGUUGGUGAGGUAACGGCUCACCAAGGCAACGAUACAUAGCCGACCUGAGAGGGUGAUCGGCCACACUGGGACUGAGACACGGCCCAGACUCCUACGGGAGGCAGCAGUAGGGAAUCUUCGGCAAUGGACGGAAGUCUGACCGAGCAACGCCGCGUGAGUGAAGAAGGGUGUCGGAUCGUAAAGCUCUGUUGUAAGAGAAGAACGAGUGUGAGAGUGGAAAGUUCACACUGUGACGGUAGCUUACCAGAAAGGGACGGCUAACUACGUG